GCAAGAAUUCCUGCAGUCUGGGAGUUACUCCAGGCUGUCUGGAGAGGAAAGACAGGCCAUGUAGGGAUUGUCUGGACCUGGUGAGUAGAGGGUCUCAGAAACCCGGAGCUAAUCCCAAGGAGGUUGCAGUCAUUAGCUAAAAGCCAAGAGGGAACUUUGGAGUCAGGGUGUUGGUUCAACCCAUGCAGCUAUGCUGCAUUCGGCUCCAUGGUUUUCUAGCUGUGGGGUCCCUGAAAGCCUUGCUUAAUGCUGAAUCUCGGUUCCUUCAAUUGUAAAAGGGGAUCAUUAGCAGUGUCUUCCUCCCAAGGUGGUUGUGAACAGUAAAUCGUAAUGAUCACCAAGGACCUAAUGUAAUUUCAUGUGACAACCUAACAAAAAAUGACUCGAUUAGAAGACAAGAAGGGUAGUCCAAUCAUGCUUCAUGUAUGGUACAUUGUAUGUGCUCAAUAAAACCUUUUUAAAAAAAAGAUGUUUAUUUAUUUAUUUGAAAGGCAAAGUGACAGAGAAGGAAGAGAUGAGGAAAUAAGAGAGAGAGAGAGAGAGAGAGAGAGAGAGAGAAAGAGAGAUUCAUUCCACAAAAGCUUGCAACAGCCGGGGUGGGCCACGCUGAAACCAGGAGCCUGACUCCAUAUAGGUCUCCCACACGAUGGCAGGGCUCCACGUACUCUGUCUAUCAUCUGUUGCUUUCACAGAUGCAUCAGCAGGAAGCUGGACUGGAAGUGGUGUGGCCAGGUCUCCACACGGCACUCCAACCCCGGAUGUGGGUGCCUCAAGCAGCAGCUAACCUCACAGCACAACUACACCCACCCUCAAUACAGCUUUUUUAAAUUAGGUCCAUUUGGAGUUCUUUCUGGUACGUGUAUGAAGUGUGAACCCAAUUUAUCUUUUCUCCAAAUGGUUAUCCAGCUGUCUCAAGUUCAUUUAUUAAGUGUCCUUGUUUUCUCCAGUGAUUUGAGGUCAUACUUAUAUUUUCAUAUAUACUUGUACUUAUUCCUAGGUUUUCUACUGCAUUCCAUUCAAUUUGUGUGCUAGCAUCAAACUUUGUGUAGUAAGGUAUUUUAGUAUCUAGAAAGGCAUGUUCUUUCUUCUUCUGUUCCACAAAUUUCCAGCGAUUCCUGAAUGUUUACUUUUUCUUUGGUCUUUAAAUCAACUUACCUUGAUUCAAGAAGACAAACAGUUGCCGUUCAUAUUGGAAUUAUAAUAAAUUUAUUAGACUGAAGAAAAUUGAUAUUUUU
Molecule: long non-coding RNA, 1235 nt
Filed under: Oryctolagus cuniculus (rabbit)
Lineage: Eukaryota; Metazoa; Chordata; Mammalia; Lagomorpha; Leporidae
Description: lncRNA (ENSOCUG00000030765.1)
Source: RNAcentral